UGAUCUGAUUUGGACACUUGGGGUUGCCAAGAUUAGAAACCUUGGAGUUUGGUCAGAUUUGGGAGUCCCAAGUGGUCCAAAUUCGAAAUUUUGGGGCUGGUCAGAUUUGGAAGUCAGAUUUUGCACCAAAUUUGGUAAACUUGUAGGCUGUCAAGAAUUGGAUGUUGUUCAGAUUUGGAAGUCCAAGUUUGAAUCAGAUUUGGUGGCUUGAAUGCUGACCAAGACUAGGGCUGUUCAGAUUUGAAAGUCCAAGUUUGAAUCAGAUUUGGUGGCUUGAAUGCUGACCAAGACUAGGGCUGUUCAGAUUUGAAAGUCCAAGUUUGAAUCAGAUUUGGUAAAACUUGAAGGCUGGUCAAGAAUUGGAAACUAGAGCCGUCUUUCUUGAAAAUUUUUUUUUUGACCUUUGAAUCAGAUUUGGUAAAACUUGAAGGCUGGUCAAGAAUUGGAAACUAGAGCCGUCUUUCUUGAAAUUUUUUUUUGACUUCUGUUGGGGUGUUUUCACACAAUAGCCAGCUAGCUUAGACCACAAU
This 530-nucleotide long non-coding RNA is filed under the name Coffea arabica (coffee). RNAcentral describes it as "long non-coding RNA (CARA_LNC001837)". Lineage: Eukaryota; Viridiplantae; Streptophyta; Magnoliopsida; Gentianales; Rubiaceae. The record is from RNAcentral.